This is a non-coding RNA of Procambarus clarkii (red swamp crayfish), 279 nucleotides long. The record is from RefSeq and is a predicted model, not a curated record. Lineage: Eukaryota; Metazoa; Arthropoda; Malacostraca; Decapoda; Cambaridae.
GUAGGUGACGUGAGUGACUUUGGGGCGGGAGCAGCGCUCAACAAGUCUACGGACACGGAAUCAUGGCUGACUCAAAACAGCAGAAUGUUUAUCCUAUCGGGGGUGUCAAGGUGCAGUUUCCUGUCAAGCCUUACCCCUCGCAGAUGGCCAUGAUGGCUCAGAUUGUAAAGGGACUCCAGCGACGUCAGAAUUGCCUGCUAGAGUCCCCAACCGGCUCGGGAAAAUCGCUGGCUCUCUUGUGUUCAACACUAGCCUGGCAACAAGCUGAAAAAGGUAAGG